RNAcentral lists this ribosomal RNA (484 nucleotides) under uncultured bacterium. RNAcentral describes it as "partial 16S ribosomal RNA". It matches the Rfam family "Bacterial small subunit ribosomal RNA", at positions 30 to 507 of the family's 1533-position model. The record is from RNAcentral.
UGAACGCUGGCGGCAUGCCUUACACAUGCACGUCGAACGGCAGCACGGGUGCUUGCACCUGGUGGCGAGUGGCGAACGGGUGAGUAAUACAUCGGAACAUGUCCUGUAGUGGGGGAUAGCCCGGCGAAAGCCGGAUUAAUACCGCAUACGAUCUACGGAUGAAAGCGGGGGACCUUCGGGCCUCGCGCUAUCGGGUUGGCCGAUGGCUGAUUAGCUAGUUGGUGGGGUAAAGGCCUACCAAGGCGACGAUCAGUAGCUGGUCUGAGAGGACGACCAGCCACACUGGGACUGAGACACGGCCCAGACUCCUACGGGAGGCAGCAGUGGGGAAUUUUGGACAAUGGGCGAAAGCCUGAUCCAGCAAUGCCGCGUGUGUGAAGAAGGCCUUCGGGUUGUAAAGCACUUUUGUCCGGAAAGAAAUCCUUGGCCCUAAUACGGUCGGGGGAUGACGGUACCGGAAGAAUAAGCACCGGCUAACUACGUG